This is a long non-coding RNA of Gallus gallus (chicken), 10994 nucleotides long. RefSeq lists it as uncharacterized. The record is from RefSeq and is a predicted model, not a curated record. The transcript is spliced from 16 exons. NCBI's taxonomy places the organism in Eukaryota, Metazoa, Chordata, Aves, Galliformes, Phasianidae.
CACAGACAUCUCUUAUCUCCAUAAAACUCCUAGAGAGCAUCCAGAGGAGGGCUAAGAAGAUGGUGAAGGUUCUGGAGGAUUCUUUCCAACUCAAGGUAUUCUGUGAUCCUAAAAGAGGGGCAGCAGCCAGCAAGGAUGGAAUCAUCACAAAGGGGAGAAAUUGCACUUAAUGGGAGGCAGCCAGGGUGCUUGGUGCACUUAUCACACUUGCCUGCAUCAUACUGCUUUCUCCUCUGCCUCUGCUUUUCCACAUGAGGACUCUGCUACGUGAAGGCCAAGGUAAGAGGAGGUGACUGCUUUUGAACAAAGAAUGUGUGGUGCUGAGUUUUCCCAAGGAGAUGGGCAAAGCCUAUGGCAUGGAGCAGGAGGAGCUGAGGGCAGUGGAGCUUCUACCCUGUAGAACAGGGAACUCCUGAAGUUGCCAGUCCUACAACAAGUGUUUAGAGGAAGCUGAUUGGGCUGGGGGCUUUCACAAAACACAUGUCCAAACUAGAAGUGUCUGAGAGUGCACCAGCAGUUCGUUGUGAAGCUGACAAAAGCCACAGGCAUGCAGUACUAGGCAGGACAAAGCAGUGCCUGAGGUCUCUGUGUCCAUCACAAGUAGCACUCAUGACACCAUGUUUGACUCGGGAUGCUGUGUUUGCCAAAGCCUUCAGGAGCUUACUGCAUGCUCUACCUGGGGCAGAGAGAGAGGGCAGGCCUUUAUAAAGUGAGCUCAGAGGUGCUUUCAAGUGGGAUGUCCUGCCUCUGGGUGUAUUUUAAGCCAUGUUUGUAAGCAGAAAAACUGUUGCAGCUUUUAGUGGUUUCUGUUAUUUGGUUUCGGCAUUGGUAGUGAGACUUGAGAGCCAAUCCUGAGCUCCCAGAAUCUCUGCUGUGUUGCUCCACAGACUUUACAGAAUGAUGAGCACCAAAACCAGGCUUUGUCACCACAGCAGGAAGGCUUGCAUCUCCUGUACUCACAGCUGCCCCCUGGGCAUGAGAGCAUCUUGGGCAUGGCCUGUCCUCACUGUGUCUCUUGAGCCAUCUUGUUGUUGAGGUGGUUGCAUGAACCAGCUAAACAUCUAAACAUUUCUUAAACGUUUCUUUGUGAUUUUGAUACUUGUGCUCAUCUCCCAUAGAUUCAUGGCUGAAGACAUCACGAAAGAAAACAAACCUCCUCCAAACAGUUGUGCAUGUAUAAAUCACCUACAUAUGUUUCUUGUUCCUUGCUAUGCAUGGGUUUCUUUUUAAUAUAAUUCUUGGCACGACAGAAACCAUGUUGGUGACAUUAUUAGUAUUGUUGGCCUGGAAUGUUUUUAAUAACAUUGAGUUUGUUGGUACAGAGCGUGAAUUAGUUGUCAGUUCUUGAGAAGUCAGAAUGUAAUUGCUGAUCAAACAUUUAAAAUAUGAUUUGUAUUAGCGAUGGUUUUCCCUAUAAAUUCUUUCUUAUGGCCAUUAGGCAGGAAGCCAAAAGCUGACAGUGUGGCAGCUCUGCUCAGCAGUCACAGUUUGGAGCGCAGCUCCAGGCUUCUAUUCCUGACUGAAUUUCUCAUGUUUUUCAGAGGGGUUUUUUUUUUCUUUUUUUUUCUUUUUUUUCUCUUUUGGCAAGAAAAGCUUGAAAAUAAGCUUAGGCCAACCUGAAAUACAUCUUUCUCCCAUUCUGCCUUUCCAGGGCUGCUGUCAGGCUGACAGAUCAGUUACUGCACAGCUCUCUCUAUUACUCUCUAUAGAAAUAAAUCUGCGUUUCCUCCCAGACUGUUCUCCAUCACCCUGCCUUCUUUCAUAGCCAUCACAAAAUGGGUGUGGAAGCAAAGUACUUUUUGCAGACACCUCUACAAAAUGUGGACUUCACCUGUGAAACCAUAGAAUUAGUGAGAGUAAGCCAAAGCAGAAGGUUUGUUUUUUUUUUUAAACUGAGUUCAGCUCCAAGUAUAAUGUUUUAACAGAUUAAUCUACCCUUCCUUCCUGUUGGUGUUGAGAUUAUCAUUCCAUGAGUAUUGUUCCUCCCUUCCUCCGACCUGCACAUGCUUCUUUUGACAACAUAGUGUGCAGACAAAUUAUUCACGCUCCACUGAAGUGCUGUUCAUCUAAUAGAUAGAAAAUUCUUGUCAGAGAAAGGGGAGGAGAAAGAGACUUCUAUGGGAAGAAACACCAGUGCUACACAGGAGCCCGCUAAUGAUGGGGAGCAAAGAACAGUGACGCUUCCCAUUGCUUCAGCACCCCAGUGACAGAACUUUCCUUCUACAACUGUUGGGAGGGAAAAUGCUAUUCCGGUAUUAAUGCUGUCAGAUUAUCUCAGCAUAGUUCAGGGUAGGUAUUUUCAGGACAGCAGACCAAACGGGUCAUUUGGCUAUACUUUCUAUGGCAGAUCAAAGCUUCAUCACUCUCCUUGUUCAGUAUCUUCUGGUUACUCUUAAAAUGUGAAGCUCGUUUGUUCCAGUAGCUGACAAAGGAGCCUGGCUUCUUGGCCCAUAAACUUCCACCUCUGUGCUGAACUCCUCAGCAGGUUCCCAGAAGGCAUGUACCACAGCUGGUUGAACCUGCAUGACCAACUGAACUCUUCAGAGCAAAUUCCUUUCUCCUUUUGCUGGCUACAUAUUUCUCUGAGCUCAUUUCUUUGCUUACCCUGUCAUCAUCUGGAGUUUGCCUUCAAGAUAAUACCAUCAGUUAAUGUUUGCAUAAUGUUUGAAAAGUCUGAAGUACCAAUUCAGAAAAUUCAUUGCAUUUUUUCUUUGUGUUCCUCCUGACACUCUUUCCCAAUCCAGGCAUGCCAGUUUCCCUCUGAAGCCUGUUGUCUUGCGUCCCAACAACUGGUACCUGUUCUCAGCUUCAUCCAUGCCUGUUUAACUUCUGUGCUGCUGGAAGUACGGUGUGGAACUGGAGAUUUGCCAGUUGUGGCUAAAAUUUCUCCAUCACUGUUGCUCUGAGCUAAAAAUAAAUGAAUAAAUAAAUCAUCAGAAUCAGCGAGCACCCACCUGAUGCACUGCACUUCAGUAAAGUUGUCUGUGCUCUGAGCUGAGAUUCAGCCCACUCCUGUUUCUGCCUUUCAUGGGCCCUCUUCAUGGAUGACAACCUAGGCAUACUCCAGGCUCUUACUAGUUGGAUCCUUGUGCCCUGCUUAUCCUGCUCAUGCCAUGGGACCACAGCCAUACAGAAAUCCAACCUUUAAUGGAUGUUUUGAGAUGAUUCCUGCUGGAGGACAAAAGAUCAUCGAAGUGAGCUACUAUCUGCCAUUUUGGAUAAGAUGAUUCCUUUCGGAGAGAAAAAUAUGAAAAGGAAAAGAGAAUCCCUGCCCUGAUAUUCAUCAAGCCAGCAGGAAAAGCAUGCAGAAAAUUCUGGUAUUGUGAAACUGGUACACCUUUGCUUCCAACUCUGGCUGAUUAUUCUGAAAUUUAAUUAAGCAGCACCUUUGAGUUUUUUUUUUCUUUUCCAUUUCAUAUUAGCAAAUUAACUGUUUUACUUUGAGAAAAAGCUUAUAUGUCACAGGUGACCUCAUCUUUGGCAAACAGGUUUUUGCCACAUCUUUCUGAGAAAACAAUCUUGCAUUACUUACAAUGAGAAGUUUACCAAAACAAUUCUAGUUUAAAUCAAAAUGUAGCAAAAAUGCUUUUGUGACCUGAAAAUUCAGCUGCCAUGGGUGGACGAGCUUUAGCUAAGGCAGAGGACUGGGAACUGGGAGAAAGCGUGCCAAAGAAUGAGGUCAUGGCAGAACUCUGGCAUCCACAGUCAUGGUCUUCAAGGACCUGAGUCCUGGGGAUGGAAGGCCUACUUUUGUCAAGCAGCCUUGGGAAAAGACACACAACAGCAACCAUGCUACUGCUGGAGCUGGGGGCUUUUGUCAGAGAUCACAUAGAUGCUUGGCUCUGAGCUCUCUUGCAAGUGGGCAAGUUGUUCCACAAGCAUUCUGUGGUGUGCUGUAAUGUAUUUGUGACUUUCAUUAAUAUGUUCAGCAAUUAAUUCAGCGCACCUGCAAGAUAAAUUAGAUGUCUUCUUUCAUCAUCCAGCAUUAUGGGAAGCUGUUUUGCUGACACAGUGCAGGGAAUGGAAACAUGGCUGUCUGUGGGUUUGAUGGCCAAAACUGCAGUCAGAUCAGUGGUGCUGCAACUGGCAUGCUGUUGUGUGGUGCUGGGGGCACCACACAAUGACUAUGUUUGGGCAAAUUGUUUCCAUAGUUUGAGAGAGAAAAGCAGCUUGUUGCUGGUCCAGAUUUUGUAAUUCAGAAGUUCUCUGUGGGUUUAGAUGAAAGUCAUGUUGAUGGAUAUUCCAGUUUGGCGAGCAUCUACAUGGGAAAGCAGUGUUUUAUGGUCAUCCUGGCCCACUGGGCUCACCUAGUAAAGCAGCUUACAAGUAAUUUGUAAGUUUUGGGGUGGUUUCAAUCACUCUUUUAUAGCUCAUAUAUAUAUUUUUAAAUCAUGGUUUAAUGAUGUGUACAGCAAUAGUCCAAGAGAUGGCUUGAAUGCUAUUAGGGUCAUACCCAAAUGUUGCCAGUGUCAGAUCAGAAGCCUGAGCCAAGCAAAGAGACAGUUUUUCCUUCCUUCCUCCUUCUAUUUUUCACUCUUUUCCUCAUAAAUGUGACUAAAAAUAAUGUGCCCUGCUUGCCUCAUUUGCUAAGUAAAACAUGCAUACCUGCUUGUUAAACUGUAAUUUUAGCUUCACUUUGAUUGAUUGCUCAAGUAGGAAAGGUUUGAAUUUUCGUCUUGUGCAGACACAUUCAAAUUAGGUGGCAAGUCUGUUGGAUGCAUUGUUUUUGUGAAGACUGGAGCUUCCCAAAUGACUGAGAAAAGUUUAAAUGAACUUAAUGAAUUUUAUUUUCUUUAUUUCCCCCUUUUUCUUUUUUAGCUGGUACUUUAACAAGGUCGGUAAAGUACUUGAUGUUUUGGAAUGGUGAGUGCAUACCUCCUGAGUGAAGUGCAGCCAAAGCUGCAGCUGCAGCUCUUUCUACAUGCUGUUCAUUGGCUUGGGGGCUGCUAGGGCUGCCAAUGGGGCAGUUCCACCACUGGCUCAGGCCCACAAUGCUUGUGAUUAGCUGCACGAGAGGGGAGGUGCUGAGGUGGAGUGCCUGGAGAAAUGCCACCACUAAAACACCAUAGGGUGAUAUGGAACCCCUAAAAAUAUAACUGUCUUAGUGUUUUGUCCAAUUGUAUGUUCUGGAGCUUCAUGUUAAUACUUGAAGCAAAGACUGGUUUUGGUUGUGGUUUGGUUUUCUGUUUUUCAUGUCUUCAUGCCUACUUGCAGCUGGUAGAUUAAGAGCUCUGCAUGUCCCCUAGUCCCUGUAGGGGCUAUAUGCACAGCCAACCACAUGCUAGAUGAAAUUAGUGAUCUUUUCCAGCCCCGAUGAUUCCGUUUUUUCUGUGCACUACUGCCUGUUGUGAGCUGGCACACUGGGCAGGGAAGGUACCUGUGUGACUUUGAAUGCUUCCACUGAAGCACAACACUUCUGAAACUAAUGGUGAUUAUUCUCUGUCGAACUGGCAAGGAUGGGUUUUUGGAACAGAAUACCCGGAGCUGAAUUCAGCCUGGUGUGGGAGGUUAUUUCAGUCUGAAUUCCUUCUUUGUAGGAAGACUAGAAAAAAGGAGAGAGAAGAAAGAUGGAAGCCAAGGGAUCCAGGUUGAGUUCAAAGCCACUACUUGCUUACUGGUACUUCUAAAAAACUGAUUUGGAGCAACACUGGCAGGAUUAAAAUGGCCCUGCUGGACCAGACCAAUGCUCUGUAGGUGACUGAGUCAAGCAACAAAUGUUUACAGAAUGUGUACAACCUUUCAAUAGCCAGAGGUUUUAACCUCAGCAUCUGGGCCACCAUGGUCCAGCGAACAAUGGAUCCACACUCCAACAACACAUUGCAUCUCUUGAAUUGCAUGUUAAUUUUUUUGCAAACCACAGCAUUUUGUGGCAACAAGUACUAGGACUAAUCCCUCUCUCCAUGUCAGGUAGUUACACAUUUAAUAAUUCAUUGUAAGGAAAAUUACUUUCUUUGGCUUUUUUUAUUAGACUUGCAGGCAGACAUUGUUAUUUGACACUGUGUGGUUAUUUUACUAGAGAAAUGAAUUUGUUUUAAAGGUUUUAGAUAAAUCAACUUCUCAACUGGAAGCAGAUUUCCACUCAGCUCUGUUGAUGAGAAAUCUCAAUCUACUUCAGAUAAAAUUAGCUGGGAGAUUAUAACCUCUUGUUAGCAACGUGGGUAGUAAUAUCUUCAGAUGGUAAAACCAGAUUUGGAAGAGAACAUCUGCCCAAGCCUCAGGCUGUGAAAGCCAGCUUAAAGUGAAGUAAAUUUUGAAUGACUGUCACUGAACUUGUGCAGUGGAACCUGAGGGAGUAUCUCUGCGUUAGAAAAACCUGAUUUGUUGUAUCUUGUUUUGGAUUUGCUUGGGCUUUGUCCUCUUUGGGUAUGAUUCUGUUCUGUGUGAAAAACCUUCAGUCUCUGUGGAUACACAGCCAAUGUUUCCUUGUGUCUUCAGAUGCAACAGUCACGUAAGUAACUAUAUCCUGAUAAUAAGUGGGUGAAAUCACAAAUUGGUUCACUUCCCUUCCUCUUUUUCCUUCUAAUCAGAAGAUGAAGCCACUUCAGAACUGCAGAGGAGGCUGUGCUACCAUUGGUAUGCCAUGCCUGUGGUAAGCACACAUUUUAAAUCACAGUUCUAGAGCCUGUUUAUGCAGACAGAUGUCAUGUGCUUAAAAAUAAUGAGUUUAUUCAGAAAGAAAAAUUCCCCCAGAAGUGAUUAAUUAAUGGAGACUCAUUCUCAGUGUAACAGCCAGCUAGAAUUAUUUCAGGCGUUCUCUUGAAGUCAAUUACCUGUUGGAAAAUCUGUUCUCUACACCAAGUUGGUCCAAGUUCCACAGCUAGCAAUAAUGAAGCAGUGGUAUAUAGCAAGAAACAGUAAAUUUUUCAUAACUGCUUGUUCUUCUCAUUGUAAUACAUCAAUAGGAUUAUGAGACAGCGAUCUAGUUUUUGAAGUUUAAAGUUAAGAGACAAGGCAAACAGUGGCUUUUCUGACCACUGAUGUAGAGGUGUCAUAUGUUUUUUAUUAAAAAAAAGACCUGGGAUCCAAUAAUUUCAAGGUGAUUUACACAGUAAAAUAGUUUGCUUUUUCAAAUGCAUGUAUGGAUUUGUGAAAAAGUGAGAGUGACAAUCCAUAGGUGUGACUGGUGACUCAGUAUUGUAGGUGCUGACUCUUCAUCGUACCUUACCUCAGACUGCAUUCAGCGUGAAAGGGAAUAGCUGUGUCACAGAGCAUUCUAACAAAAUUGUGAUUGCUGCUGUUCAAGAUCGUCACUGCUGUUAUGAAACACAGGUAGACGCUGUGUGGCAAACACAGUGCAGCAAAAGCCUCUGUCAUGGUUCUUUCCCAGUCCUUCAACUCGUACCCAGGUGCAGGCCCAGGUAAAUCAUUGCCACAGUGAGCUGCCCUGCUGGGCUGGAGCUGCAGCCCAUCUUCCCCCCCAGCAUUUUCUCCCUUUUCUCCCUACUUUCAGAGUUUCAUAAUGGAGUUAUAAAAACACAUUUCACAGUGAAUCUUGGCAAAGUGACAGCUGAAAAAUGACUUUUCCCUAGUAAUUUUAAACGCAUCAGCUCAGUCAGUGUUAAGAUAUUCUAAGAAACAGAAGUUGGGAGAAUAACAGUAUUUAAAAAGCGUGACGUCUCAGGUUGAUCCUGAUGGGAAGAUGUCAUUUGUCUUUUGAUGAUAAAAAGAUCUGAGAUCCAAUAAUUUCAAAAUAUUAAUGAAAUGCUAUAUAAGCAUCAAAUGAAUAUAUUGACUGGGGCUGGGACUGCUCUUUUCCUGUAGUUACAUAACAUGUCUUGUCUAGUAAAAGAAACAAUAUGUAAUUGUAGGUAUUUACGCAGCUGACAGACCAGAAAGGCUUCUGUGGGAUUGUUCAUGUCUCUGAAGUAAAUUGAAUGCAUUUUGUAAAAUUUUCUAAUUAUGUAUUUACUCAAGGAUCUGUUCUGAUCUUCAGGGUAAGUACUGCAACUCAAUGUUGACAUAGAAAAAGAGGUAUGUUUUAUUUUUUAUUUUUUUUUUCCCAUAGGUUUAUACAAACAAAGCUAUGCUUUACCGUGCAGUGUCGUGGUUCACCUUUCCACUUACACAGACUAACUCACCGCUGCUAGUGGUCUCAGCCACUGCCGAUGAGAGGACUGUGGAGGCUGCCCUGGCAUGGAGAUAUUCAUACCUUUCUAUUUGGCAAGAGUAUCCCCAAAACAAAGGUUGUCUUGCUGGAUUGCUUCUUAUACCUUGUGGAUUGUGAGGCUGCACGAAUGCUUGAGCUGACACCAGCAAAAGGGCAGAUUGAAAAUGAUGGUCUUGUUCUUAAAGGAGAGCUGACUGUGGCCAUGCUGAGCACUUCUCAGGAUGAGACCUGCACAGAUCACCUCACAUUAGAAUUCCAUGUCUGACAGCAGCUUCGGAAAGGCAAUGGCAAAUCAGUCUUUUCUGAGGAGGAUAAACAACUGGCAACAAAUGUAGGCAGGAAAGGGUAGCUGUUCAGAGCAUCCUGCAGCAGGCUUCACCCUUGGUUUCUGCUUGCUUUCUGCCUCUUGAAGAAUAAAUGAAAAUGUAUCUCGAGAAAUGAGGUUCCUAGAAAGAAGUUCAAAUUCCAGAUGGCUGAUACCACCCAGGCACCAGCUGUUGAGGAGGGCCACACAUGUCCAGGGUGUGUGUACAGUCCUUGGUAUGAGAAUCGCCCUCCUGAUUACCAUCGGAGAACGUAGCACGUACCAAUAUAAGUAUUGUUUUGUUAGAAGUGAAACCUUUACCAAGCAAUACCAAGGAGCAAUCAAAGGUCACCUGGGCACUGGAUACGUUUUCCGUGAAGGCUGAAGCUCAUAACUCAACAAGAGAAUCCACAGUGAUCUCUAAAAGUCAGUACACGUGGUGAGCUCCACCCAGCUGCUCUUGAAACGUCUUAUUUUUGCUGUGAUGCAUCAGGGAGUCAACCAUGUCUUCGGGAGUGCCCUUGGAAAUUUUCAAGAGAAAAAUUAUUGACUCGAGAUGGAGAAGAACUGGGACAAGAAUGCCCUUGCUUCCAGACUCUUCAUCACCCAUCUGUGAUUCUUACAUUCAUGUGACUUGAACCAGAAAGCCAUAAUGUAACCAAACGCAAUAAUCAGGCGGGGGAAAGAAGGGAAGGAGAUUCCUUUGGUGCUUUGCUGAAAGCUGAUGUGGAUAUGAUUGCUGCUGGUCACCUCCUGUGACCACGCAUGCGACUGCAUUGUGCCCAGCUGCUGCUGUGCCCAGCCAUUCCACAGGCUCUGUCAUCUCCUUGACAUCCCAUUGGAAGGGACUGUAGGAGGAAAGGGCCAUGUUUCAUGUGAGAGAUGUCAGAUCAGAUUCCAGCCCCUAUGGAAAUGGUGUUGUCAGUGAAGUUAGGCAACAGGAAUAUUUUGCUAUGGAGGAGACACUUCUGAAAUGCUGUGAUCAGGGGUGACCACUGCUCAGAGAGGCCUGAAGUGUUCUGUGAUGUUUUGAAUCCCAUGCAACCAUACCAGAGGGGAUGAAUUUUUUGGUAACUGUUUUGCUGAGGAAGCAACAAUAGCUUCAGGUGUCCAACCUCCUCCUUUCCUCUCUUGGGAAGGACCAUCACAGCCAGUCCCAGAGUGGGAUGGGAAUGAAGCAGCAGAGGCUGAUGAGAAUGCCUUUCUUCAACUGAGGGCGUGAAAGAACAAUUUCCCAUUGCUAGGAAUGGAGGUGCUGAGUUAACAUCAACUUUGCAGACUGUGUUGAUUUUCUGCGUGGUUCACUCUAGGCUUCCUAUAACAGACAGCUUAUUAUCUCGCCUUGUGAAAAUCAUACUUGACUUCUGGGAGACGUCUAUCAAAAGGAAAGAAUAGACUGAGAAGCUGGUACUUUCGAUCUAAUUAUCUGGGUUGGUGGUUGUUCAGUGAACCUAUUAACUGCUUGAAGUGACUUGCAUCUUCACAGGAAGAUGACUAAAGACAUGAUGCUGCACGUUUCAGCUUGGAUAUUUCAAGAACUGUACAUCUUUCUAGGAAAGCAGAAAUUUUACUUUACUCUCUUUUAAUGCAUUGUGAAAUGAAAGGUGCCAAUUUUAUUCUCCAUUUUUGGUAAGCAUUUUCUCAAUUUAUACAAGCUUCUGACUCCUCAAAAACACGUUUAAAUUAUUUGGUAAAAAGUGCAUGUGGUAAAAAAUGCAUACAUUAUUUGGUAAAAAAAAGUCCACAAUACCUGUAUUUAUCAUUACUCCUGCUACAAUGCUUCCCCAGCCGCAUAGGAUAACUGUUAAUUACUAUGUAAAUACGACAUUUAUAUAAAUACAUGCCACAUAGCUGGUGGCUAGACUAAGUUUAAGCACUUUUCUUAGUCUCUAAGACCACUGCACUUGAUAAGUAAACAAUGAUUUUUAAGAGCUGGAUAUAGAAGUCAGUUUCUUGGUCCAAUGUACGUCAAAAAAAAGCUUAUGAAAUAAGCACGUAAGAGUUGCCAAGAUCAACAACCUUUAAAUGUUCAGAGCUGAUGAUCUUAACCUCCUCGUCUCCACUCCCUUCCUAUCCACUAACAAUUCUCUGUACUUUCUUCAGAUUCAACUUUCACUCCAAAUUUAUUACCAUGGAAAUAAAAAAAACAGCUUUGUUUUUAAGAUGACUGCUAGUAACACAGACAGGCUUCCUAUUGGAAAAUUAAGCACACGCCUCACUACAACUUCCCACAUUACUUGCUGGCUCCAAAGUGCUACAAUCCUAACUUAUUCCUAUUGCUUGUACAACCAGCAUGACCCUGCUCACACCAAAGUAGUUACUACAAAUAAAUAAAUAAGAAGUCCAACACAGGAUCCAUUGCACAAACAUUUAAACAAAUGGAAUAAUUUCUUUUACAAAUGUGUUUCUGUUGUAUAAGAAUAAUCUUGUACAGAAAAUAGCUCUUUAUGCAUCUUACAGAAACGCUAACAUUUAGAUUCUCUAUUCAUGGACAGUGUUUGAAUGCAAUUUAAGAUUCCAGCUAUGCUUUAUAGUUACCAAAUGUCAAUAAAGCAGCAGUACAUCAUUGUCUAAUAUCCUUAA